GGACUGGUUAGCUCAGUCAGUUGAGCAUGGCGCUAACAACGCUGAGGUCGCGGGUUCAAUUCCCUUUCGGUCCC
Non-coding RNA from Apaloderma vittatum (bar-tailed trogon), 74 nucleotides. Lineage: Eukaryota; Metazoa; Chordata; Aves; Trogoniformes; Trogonidae. The record is from Rfam.